Molecule: long non-coding RNA, 2876 nt
Organism: Hemicordylus capensis (graceful crag lizard)
Lineage: Eukaryota; Metazoa; Chordata; Lepidosauria; Squamata; Cordylidae
Exons: 4
Source: RefSeq, a predicted model, not a curated record
GGCAGAAGUGGCGGUGGAGAGGAGAGGCGGCUGGGCUUGGAAGUGGAGACUGGGGCAGAAGGUCGGGGGGAAGAGGUAACCACCGGCUCCAAAGAGCGCACAGAUGCUCUGUGUGGGGUCGGCUAGUCUAUUUUAUUUUGCACAAAUAUGGAUGAUGAAAAAUCCGCCUCUGCUAGAAUGCUGAAGAUGCCUUAUAUUGUAUAGAGGCCAGUUCAGAAAUGCAAAAUCUUCGCGCUGCUGCUGCUGCUACUACUACUACUACUACUACUACUACUAUAUUUCAGGUUUUGUUCGGUUCAAAACAUUCCCCAGAGGAUGAAGAGAGCUGUUUUUACUAUUAUUACCAUCUUAUUGCAACAAGGAUACAUUUCUGCAACUGAGUAGUCCUUUGAGGAGGGACAAGAAAGCAGUGAAAAUCACUGACAUCCCUCCACACCUUCCGUUGCUGCUGGGCUGCGGAGGAAAGCAGAUAUCCAGAGUCCCACUUACUUGCAAAGUUGAUGAACAGCAAUUUUCUCAGACUGCAGAACAGGAGGGCCUUACUGCAAGGUUGACAUUGGAAAAGAUAAAAGUGCAAGGCCUUGCUUUGAUAUUUAACACUGGUGACUUGAAUCAACCUUGAAACAUGCUGGCGAUGGUCUAGAGCAGAGAAAUUGAUUAACUUGAAGCAGGGGCUGAAAUGCUGCCACUGAAGUGAGAGUCCUAUCCCGUCUCCACUGCUCUGAUGGAAGAAAUCAAAGCCCUUCUAGAGCUGGACACAAAGCAGCAGUUGCCAUGAACUCUUUCUAAGUGUGCAUCAGAACAAUAGUUGCCCACACUCCUGACUGAAUGGUGUGACCCGAAUUGACCUUCUCCCGGGCAGUGGCCAUGCCCCCUGCAACUGACAUCAGACGCAAGGGUGUGGCUUGGGGCAUGGGGCACGGGAGGGGGGGGCAUGGGGGGAAGGCCCCUUACACGAUCUCUCUCCCCCAUUCACUUUGCCAUUCAUUGCAGCACAUGAACAACGCUGCAGCCAGUGGCAAAGCAGGGUGCUGAAGGAGGAGGUCCUCUGGCAUCCCUCAACGCACCAUGACAGAAGCACACGGUGCACUGAAGGAUCCUCCCUCAGCUGGGCGAUCACACACAACCCUGGCCCUGGGGUUAAGGGUGUGCCCGUACCCUUAAUCCUGCGUAAGGGCUGUGGUAAGAAGUCAAGUUUGGUGGGAGGGCAGUGCUGGGAUCGGUACUGCACACAAGCAGCCCAACCCAGGUGAGGCUGCCCUUGCCUGGGUUAGGCUGCUCAUGGGAAUAGGCUCUAUUUUUUGCAACUGUAGAAUGAAAAAGGCGGACUAGUGUUCAAACUAUAUGUGUGUGUGGGAGGGAGAGAGAACUAUAAGGGAGAUCAAGAUAGCUUGAACUUUAGUUUAGCAUGUCAUAAGGCAAAAAAAAAAAUGUGGUCAUACACACUCGCUGGCUGUCAGGACUGCUUGCCCAUCGUUCUUGUAAGUUCCAGCCUUUGGGAGACUGUAUUCUGUGACACUUGUAAAGAGGCUGGUCCUGUGGGUCUGAUUAAAGUGCAUCUUCCAGAUAAAAACCUUGCAGACUUUAGACAAACUCUACUCUGUGCCUGACCUUCAGAGUUAACACAAAAGGUGGGGCAGGGGAGACAGGGAAUCUGUCUUGAGCAUCCUUUGACCAUCCCAGAAUUUCAUUUAGAGCAACAUACGAACAAAGAAAGGGUGUUGGAUGCUCGCAGUAAUGAAAAUCCAUGACUCUGCUGUGCAUUCAUAAUUAUUUUAUAAAUAAAUGUCUGCCAGAGAGCCACAUCUGUCUCUUCCCACCGAGUGUACGUCUUUCAUUAAUGUAUCAUAGGCUGAAUGAAGCCAGCCUGAGUGCUGGGCUUGCAUUUUUCUCCUUCCCUCCAUCAUUGUCCACGGAUAGGUUUUUGUGGUUCAGAAAGAGCUGCAAGCCCCACACUUCUCUGCAAGACUGAUGGCUCGUCAAUAACAUUAGCCAGCAUUAUGGCCCGCAUCAGUGUAGAACAGAAUCGAUACGGCCAAGUAAAAAGUCUAAUAAGUUGACAUGACCAUCCUCAGCAGGGCUCACGUUACAAGAAAUGAGUUUUUUUAAGGAAUCAGCGUCAGCGCUGCUUAUUCACCCCACACUGAGAUGCCUUGACUAAGAUUUAUUGCUCCUGCUUUUUGCCGGCAGUGCUGGCUAAGCUGGUAAAAGUAAAAUAAUCAUUGAGGGUACAAGAAAAAUAAAGGUUUUUUAUUUUUUAUUUUUUUAAAUUAAUAAACACUGACCACUGAGAAGGUAAGAAGACAUGUGUGUACAGUAGCCUGGCGUAUGAUGAAAGCCGGGGUUUGGGGCAUAAAUAGGAUAAUCCUGGGAUUUAUUUCCGUAUUGGAGCUGGACCAUGUAUUUUCUCUCUGGGUCUUUCAUGUAUUCUCUUAGGGCUUUGUUCUUUAGGAUAUGUGAUAAUUUAAAGUAGUGCAGUUUUAGAGUAAAUCCAGUGGACAUAAUGAUGUUACAGGCCAUUGUACCUGGAAGCAGAAGGUAUUAUCUCCCAGACCCCUGGGAGAUAAUAGUGACUAAUGUAGACACAUACACACACUUAAAAGAAGCAGCUUUCCUUUAACUUCGCUCUGCAUGAAGUCAUUAUGAAGCUGCUGUACAACUCUACAUUCUUUUUUUCCUCCCCUCCCUUCCCCUCCUCACCUGAUGGGAUGCACCAUUGUGCAUGGGGUGUGGGGAAAGCAACAUUGCACUCUGGUGAACCUUGUUGGUUAGCUGCUCUCAUUUGUCCAGUCAUCUGAGGGAAAACCCUGUUCAGUCAUGUGAAGUUAAAGCAUUAGUGAAAUCGUUACUGAAGCAUUGUCAAGCUAAUAAGCCAA